UUGAGGAGGCAGCGUCUGAUUUACAUAGGGCACGAGAGAUUGGUCAGGCCAGGUGUGCUGUUUGGAUAGCCUGCAAAGAAGCUGGCCGCCCCACCCUAAUCUUUUACUAUGUAUAUAAGUUCUCUACCUGGCUGGCACCACGUUGCCUACUCCCUGACUGCACACGUGGUGACGAAGAAAAGCAAAGAAAACGGAAGAUGGCGCCUCCAUGUUGAACAUGCCUGGCUCCCAGGAGAGGAUGGUGUGGAGAACUGAAAUUCCGCUAAGAACACCUUAGGAUUCCCUAUAGGGUAAAGUGAAGAUCUUCAACUGGGCGUUGUGGAUUUAGAUGUGUAUGAGAAAUCCAGAUUAUCCUACAGGGUAUUACAAAGCUCAGAAUGGUAAACUUUAAGUCACUGUAGCUAGUUCUGAUUUUUACAAUUGAAAUUACACUUGAUGCCACUAUUUUCCAUAAGUGAUGCUUCUGACAUUUUAUGCAAACUUCAGUUUAUAUAUAAAAUUGGAUGCUCUGAAUGCUUUGAUUAGCAUGGUCUUACCUGAGCUAGUUAAAACAUGAUUUUAAUAAGACCAAAGAUCAAGAUUUCCUUCAGAAGCCAACUCCAAGUGAAGUUGUCCUCCUCAUGCGAACUACAGCUUAAAUUCCGGACAUAACAGCUUAGCUUCCAGAGAGAAGAAACAGUGACCUAGGACGGCAAUGAAACACAUUGAUCCUACCUUUGGAAUAUGGAUAGAAGAAGAAAAGUGGAUCAAAAGUGGAUUUUAGUUGUAAAUUCAGCCAUGACAGAAAUACCAUGAAUCCACUGAAUGCAUCCUUCAUCUAUAUCAAUAACACAUACAGUGUGAGCUGUCAAAUUAUGGCCAGAAGUGUGUAUAUGAAUACAAAAGUUAAUUUUUAAGUGACUAGCCUUAAGAGUUUUAGUCCGAGAAUGUGCAUAAUUAAAAACAAUGAGUAUUUUUAUCAGAAUAAUCUGAAAAAAAUUCUUAGAAUCAUUAUGAUAAAACCAGUCUCAUUUGUUUAAUGUCCUACAGCAUCACAAAUUGUCAUAUAACAUCAUAAUAAGGUUAACAAAAAAUAAAAUAUCAUUAAAGAAACAAUGUUGUCUUAUAACUAUUUAUCCUAUCCAUAUCAUAGUCAUGAAGCUAAAAUAUAGAGAUAAGCCAGUAAUAGCUAUCGAAUUUCAACCUGGCUAUUUUGACAGCUUGUGUACCCAAUCUAAAAUUAUGGUAAGUUAAGUAGCAUUUUCAACAUUUCUACAAAGUAUAAUGAAAAUUAUAGAUAUUUUUUCUUUCUCACCCAUAUUUGGAAAGAAAUUUAGGAGAUCCUUUAAAACCAUUAGGCUUUCUAAGACAGAAAAAAUAUAAUUGCACAGGAAUGAAGAUAACACAGGUAGCAAUUCAUUGCGUAUCCAUUCUUUAUGGUGGCUUCUUUCCCCAAGCUCAGGAAACUGCUGUUUAUAUAAAUUUGGAUUAAACAGAAGAGUCAUUCAGUUGUACAACUCUGUAGUUUUGCCAGAAGAUGAUGGAGUGGAAAACUGAAAUUCUCAUAAGAGUGCCAAAGGAAUCCCCACGGAACAAACUGAAGCUGUUCUAGUGUGCAUUUUGCAUUUGGACAUAUGUGAGAAGCCCAGAUUGUCCCAAAGGACAUUACAAACUUCUGGAAACAUAAACAUCAUUUCAUUGUGGACAAUUCUAGUUUUAACAAUUGAAAUAAUAUUUUAUGCACUAUUAACCACCACAGAUGACACUUCUGUCAUGUUUGUACAAACUUUAGUUUACAUAUGAAAAUUACUCAGUGCUUUGAUUAGUAUAAUCUUGUCUGAGGUAAUCAAAACAUAAUAUUAAUAAGGCCAAAGUUUCUGAUUCCCUUCAGAAGCCAAACCUAAAUACAAUUGUCUUCCCCAUGAAAAUUGCAGCUCAAAUUUUAGACACAUACUUAGUUCUCCCAUUUUAUGAUAAAAUAUGAUGGGAAAUCUUAUUAAAGGCCAAGGGAUGAGCCAAUGAAAAACAAAGACAAGGACUGCAGUGGGAGGUGCCCUAGAACUUUGCUUCUCAAAUUAUAAUAGCUAAGACCUCUCUAAAUGCAGAUUCUAUUUUAAUAAUUCUGGUGUGAGUUUUCCAGGAGCCUUUAUUUCCAAAAAAAAGUAAUGUCCAUGGACAUUUGCCAUCCAACAGGCCUUCAUCAUGGGAGGACCUGGAUUAUCAGAGAACCUUGAUCAUUGGAGAAACAAUAAAUAGCAAAUGUGGUGGGUAUGCAAAGAGAGAAGCAGGGGACGACCAGAUUUGUUCAGGGAGUCCAGCAUGAGUAGGUUUUUGAGGGAUCUUUGGGGGUAGCUCAGGGCUUUGUUCUUUACCCCAACUUACAGAAAAAUCAUUGAUGGAUUUUUG
RNAcentral lists this long non-coding RNA (2385 nucleotides) under Homo sapiens (human). RNAcentral describes it as "HSALNT0057452". Lineage: Eukaryota; Metazoa; Chordata; Mammalia; Primates; Hominidae. The record is from RNAcentral.